This 73-nucleotide transfer RNA is filed under the name Munidopsis verrilli. RNAcentral describes it as "tRNA-Pro". Lineage: Eukaryota; Metazoa; Arthropoda; Malacostraca; Decapoda; Munidopsidae. The record is from RNAcentral.
UCAGGAAGUAGUUUAAAAAAAAAUUUUAGUUUUGGGAAUUAAGGAUAGAGCCGGUUGAGUUCUCUUUUUGAGC